This is a long non-coding RNA of Erigeron canadensis, 353 nucleotides long. RefSeq lists it as uncharacterized. The record is from RefSeq and is a predicted model, not a curated record. The transcript is spliced from 3 exons. Lineage: Eukaryota; Viridiplantae; Streptophyta; Magnoliopsida; Asterales; Asteraceae.
AUCUGGUCUCAUUCGAAUCUUGAGAUUUUUAAAAAGAUCUUGUUGAGAGACGGUUGUGAUCGUUGGACUAUCAAUUAAUACACUUGUUGAGGUACUUCAGGUAGGAGUCAUGGUGCUUUGUAGAAAUUGCAUCACUCAAAAUCAGAUGUAGUUUGUUUCGGUUAUCAAUCAUCAUCUACUUCGUAAUGAAUCGCUGAUACUUUGAUAAAAUCUGUAGCUUUAAUGUUUUGGUUACGAUGUAAAUCCAACCUGGAUUCAAAUUACUAUACACAACAGUAUGCUCAAAGUUGCAAACUUGCCAGAAUUAUAGCAAGUAUCAAACUUUAUGUUUAAAAAAACCUAUGUGACAAGCA